RNAcentral lists this ribosomal RNA (455 nucleotides) under uncultured bacterium. Its description in RNAcentral is "bacterial SSU rRNA". It matches the Rfam family "Bacterial small subunit ribosomal RNA", at positions 340 to 786 of the family's 1533-position model. The record is from RNAcentral.
UACGGAAGGCAGCAGUGGGGAAUAUUGCACAAUGGGCGCAAGCCUGAUGCAGCCAUGCCGCGUGUAUGAAAAAGGCCUUCGGGUUGUAAAGUACUUUCAGUCGUGAGGAAGGUGUUAAGGUUAAUAACCUUAGCAAUUGACGUUAGCGACAGAAGAAGCACCGGCUAACUCCGUGCCAGCAGCCGCGGUAAUACGGAGGGUGCGAGCGUUAAUCGGAAUUACUGGGCGUAAAGGGCACGCAGGCGGUUAAUUAAGUUGGAUGUGAAAUCCCCGAGCUUAACCUGGGAAUGGCAUUCAAGACUGGUUAGCUAGAGUCUUGUAGAGGGGGUAGAAUUCCAUGUGUAGCGGUGAAAUGCGUAGAGAUGUGGAGGAAUACCGGUGGCGAAGGCGGCCCCUGGGACAAAGGCUGACGCUCAUGUGCGAAAGCGUGGGGAGCGAAACAGGGAUUAGAUACC